This 414-nucleotide ribosomal RNA is filed under the name Brachycephalus puri. RNAcentral's name for it is "partial small subunit ribosomal RNA". The record is from RNAcentral. Lineage: Eukaryota; Metazoa; Chordata; Amphibia; Anura; Brachycephalidae.
UUUCUGGGAUUAGAUACCCCWCUAUGCCUAGUCGUAAACUUUAAGUAACAUGAAAGCCGCCAGGGGACUAUGAGUUGAACUUAAAACCCAAAGGACUUGACGGUGCCCCAAAUCCCUCUAGAGGAGCCUGUCCCAGAAUUGAUGAUCCGCGUAAACCUUACCAGCUCUAGCUUAACAGUCUGUAUACUUCCGUCGCAAGUCUGCCACGUGAGUGGAAAUCAGCAGGCAAAAUGUUUUUUUACAGUAUGUCAGGUCAAAGUGCAGCAAAUGGGUUGGUGGAGAUGGGCUACACUUUCUAUUUUAGAAGAUACGAAAGACUCUAUGAAAAUUAGUCGGAAGGUGGAUUUAGUAGUAAGAAGAAAACAGGACGUUCUUUUUAAUAUGGCAAUGGGGUGCGUACACACCGCCCGUMCC